This 253-nucleotide ribosomal RNA is filed under the name uncultured Eubacteriales bacterium. RNAcentral describes it as "uncultured Clostridiales bacterium partial 16S ribosomal RNA". It matches the Rfam family "Bacterial small subunit ribosomal RNA", at positions 549 to 802 of the family's 1533-position model. Lineage: Bacteria; Bacillati; Bacillota; Clostridia; Eubacteriales. The record is from RNAcentral.
AAUCAUUGGGCGUAAAGGGUACGUAGGCGGUUAAAAAAGUUAGAAGUGAAAGGCUAUAGCUCAACUAUAGUAAGCUUUUAAAACUGUUUAACUUGAGAGAUGGAAGGGAAAGUGGAAUUCCUAGUGUAGCGGUGAAAUGCGCAGAUAUUAGGAGGAAUACCGGUGGCGAAGGCGACUUUCUGGCCAUUAUCUGACGCUGAGGUACGAAAGCGUGGGUAGCAAACAGGAUUAGAUACCCUGGUAGUCAAGGGCG